Molecule: long non-coding RNA, 7543 nt
Filed under: Malus domestica (apple)
Lineage: Eukaryota; Viridiplantae; Streptophyta; Magnoliopsida; Rosales; Rosaceae
Description: long non-coding RNA (MDOM_LNC011844)
Source: RNAcentral
AGCGUGCGAUGCGGUGAAUACUAUAAGCACUAAACCAUGGUGCAGGAUUUGAGCUCAAUAUAUAUCAUCAUCAUCAUAACAGUAAUUAAAUAAUCACCUGAUACUCACCUGUGCGUCCACCGCACCAUUUCAUACAUAUGCAUCAUAAAUCAAUUCUUACUUGUGCGUCCACCGCACCAAUUCAUACAUAUGCAUCAUAAAUCAAUUCUUACUUGUGCGUCCACCGCACCAAUUCAUACAUAUGCAUCAUAUAUUAAUUCAUGCAUGGCAUUUCAACUCACAUUUUUUCCACAUAACUCAUAUGCAUUUCAUUUUAAACAUAUUUUCAUUUCAAUUCAAUUUCUGGGAAACGUCAAGUAUAUAUAUAUACGGAAAACAAAACUGCCCACUCACCUGGAGUUCGCCCUACAACUCCCUAGCACAAUACGCCAAGGCGUCAUGACGAUCGGCGCCUAAAACAAUAAUCAAUUCCAACCUCAGAAUUUAUAGUGAUAGAAUAUAUAACUUAUAUAAAAUACGUCACUACGUAGUUCGAUCCGGAAGAUCCACCACUCAUAUUUUAAAUCCAUAACUUCCAGAGGUCCACAAUAUACCUCUAGGACAACUUCCUAAAAUUUCAUUACCAUCCAACGGUCGGAUCUCCGUCACUUUCCAAAACUAAGUGACGGUUAACAUUUUAUAUUAUGGACUUACAAUUCCAAUUCCGGAAGAUCCGCAAAUCGGAUUCCCAAUCUGUAAGUUCCAAUAAUCCUCAAAUAUUACGUAUUACAACGUAUCAAAGUUUGGUGAUGAUCCAACGGUCGGAUCAUCAAUUCACAUUUUCACCUAAUGUGAAAACUAUAAAACGUUAUUUGAACACCUAACCAACAAUCCUCAAUAACUUUCUCAUACGGUGUUCAAUUUAGGUAUAUGAAUAUACCACAGUGAUCUACUCGACGUCACGAACAUCGACAUAUUUUUAAAAUAAUUUUAUUUUUAUUUUUUAUUUUUACUGUAGCACCUUCUUCUUCCUUGGGUCGCCGGACUGGUUUUUCCGGCGGCCGUUUUCCGGGCAGUUUUUCAAAUUGCUAUAACUUUGUCAUUUCUCAACGAAAUCAAGUGAUUCAAAAACGAAAGUUGUAGCCCUUGAAGAGACAAAGAGAAUGGUACCUUGCACAACACCUAAUUCGCCUUGGUUUGGCCGGAAACUGCCUCGAAAGCCUCGGAGGUCGCCGGAAACUGGGUAUUUUUCAAAUGAGUAUAACUUCUUCAAUACUCAACGAAAUUGAGUGAAACAAAAAGUAAAGUUGUAGUACUUGACGAGACGAAGAGAUUGAUACCUACCUCGACUUCUAACUCGUCGGGGAUUCGCCGGAAAACGCCUCGAAAGCUCCGGCCAAAUUUUGAACUUGUCGAUCUCCGUGUUCUUACGUCCAAAAACUUCCAACGAAGCACUCCGAGCUUCCUUGGGACCUCACUAAGCUCGCUGUGAGCUUGGAUUGUCCUAAAAAUCAACCAAUUCAAAGCUCAUGAACAGUACACUUUCAUGGGGAGUUUAGAAUCUAGGUUUUCCGAAGUAAAACUUACCUGAAAUGGAUACCAACGUGAUCGUGAAGUCCUCAGGAUUCCAAUGGUGGUCUCAAACUUGACGUUGGUAUAGAUUUAGGGUGGUUUUGGUGGUGGUCCGUGUGAGUUCGAAGGAGAGGGAGAGAGACAGAGAAUGAGAGAUUGUGAGGGAGGAGAGAGAGAGACAGGGUACGGGAAAUAGGGAGGGAUUUGAGGUGUGUGGUCCUACCUAACCCCAAAUCACAAAAUUCCAUCUCCAAAUAACUUAGGAACAUAUAUUUCACCAAUAUAUGAUUCACAUAUCUUAAUCACGUUUAAGGGAAAUUCCGUCAAUUUACAAUCACGAGUGUAAAACUUUGGGACGGGCUGUGACAAUCUCCCCUCCUUAUAGAAUUUCGUCCCCGAAAUUCCAGCAACCAACUAAAUCAUCUAUACUCAUACAAUAGCCUCGGAUAAAUCUCUCUCAUCCGAUUCUCUUUCUCCCACAUAAUUUUCUACUGAAUGAUUUCCUUCACAAAGCUUUUACUACUUACUCUGUCUUAAUUCUCAGGACCUUCUUUUUCCAAUCCAAAGUCGUCCUUGGUUCCUUAUCAAGUCGAAUCCAAUUUAAUUCUCAAUAGUUACACCAUAAUCCCAUGUGACAAAUCUGCCACCUAGUGACAACGCAUCGAACACAAAAUACAUUAUGUGCCUUAGCCAAUUCUCAAGGCAUCACAAACUUGUAUGCAACUUCGUCGAUUCCUUUAGUGAUCAAAACAGACUGAUGUUUCUAAGACUUAUCUUGUCUUCCUUUCCAAAUCUUGUCAUUUCUGUUCGUGGUGAAUUUUCCAAAAAUAUCAAACCAUUUACCUUACACACUCGAUUAGUGGCAUAUCCAUCUGUUGAUCUCUUUUGCCAUUCCUGGUUACUUCAGGUUAACUUAAUCACCUGAAUACUUUGAGGAGACUCAUCCAUAGUCUCAGGGUCUACUAAAACUCUUUCUCGAUCGAAUCUUUCUCUACCCAGAAACAUUCCAUUCACAAGUCAUCAAAAACCGACUCACGUGACACAUUUCAUGGUCCUUAUGGCGUUACUUCGGAAACUGCACAACCAACAUACUUAAGAAACUUAGCAGUUCCGUAAUCCAAUUCUCUUUUCCAUAAAACAAAUAAGUAGUGUUGCACUGUCUGGGAAAGGUUGUUACUCAACACUGGAGUAAAUGUACUAACUUGUUACUUAACAAGUAUAACUUCUUCUCGAUCUUCCAUUCUUUUUUCUUCCGUUGGUUUUCAAUCCACAAGAUGAUACUCUUGGCAAACGUGCCAGAUAUUAAUCUUACUGUAGUCUUCUCACCAAGUGCUUCAGCUAGAACAAACUUUACGAUCACCCUGAUCGUACAAUCAUGUUCAUUAAGCAAUACAAUUCACUUUCGCUGCCUCAUAUCAAAUUCCUUCCAAGUAAUGGAUAUUGAAGACUCUUUUGAUUUGUAAAAUCUUGCAUUCUUAUCAAAUAUAAUGCCUUCAUAACUUCACAGCAAGAAUGGUAAUCAUGACUUCCAAGUCACCCGUAGGGUAAUUCAUCUCAUGAGGUUCCUUUUAUCGUGAAACGUAUGCAAUCACCCUAACAUUUGCAUCAACAUGCCUCCAAUACCAUUCAAGAAACAUCACUAAAAAUUUAUGAUUACCACUAUUCUCUAGGAAUACCAAAAUACGUGCAUGAGUGAGGAAAUACUUCAGUUGUUGAAUCCUUUGCUUACAAUUCCUUCUCACUCAUACCUAACCUCUUUUCUCAACAGUCUCGUCAAUGACAAAGCAAUGACUGAAAAAUCUUUCACAACCAUCCAAGAUAGCCUGGUAAGCUAAGAAAUUCCGAAUCUCAAUUACAGCUCGUGGUUGUUCCAAUUUCUCAAUUUCUGCUAUCUUUUAAGGAUUCACUUGAAUACCUUAAGAAUAUAUAACAAAUCUCAGAAUGCCACCUGAUUCGUCUAACUUUAGCAUUUGCUACUUAGCAUACAACCAACGUUCUCUCAAUCUUUGGUUCACCGACUUAAUACAUUUACAUGCUCUGCUCUGGCUCAGAAUAUGCCAGAAUAUCUUCAAUGAAAUGAUAUCAAUUAUCAAGGCAUUAUUGGAAUACUUAAUCCAUCAACUCAUAAAACAGCAUGAGUAUCCACAUAGCAUCACCAAACUUCAUAAGGACCAUAACAAGUCCAGAAACCAUCUUAUGAUCAACGUUAAUAUUCAAUUGGUAGUAACCAGAUCUCAAUUCAAUCUUUGAAUCUUCGCAAUUACUUCUGAGCUGGUUAAAUAAACAUCAGUACAUCACCAUGGAUAACGGUUCUUAAUCGUUACCCGACUUCAUUGUCUAUAAUCAAUGAACAGUCUCAAGAUCCAUUUUCUUCCUCACCAACAAACUGGGGCUCCUCAAAAGUGUUGUACUAGGUUGAAUAAAACUUUUAUCAACCAAUUCCCUCAACUGAAUUUCCAAUUCCCUUAACUCAUCAUGAACCAAUCUCCAAUAUAAAUUUAUACCUGGCAACAAAUCAAUAGUGAACCUCAUAUCUCUGCCUGAAGGCAAUCUAGGUAUACUUUCAGGGAAGACAUCAAGAAAAGUCUAACUCUUUCGACAUUAUUCACACUACUCCAAACAACAUCAUUUAGCACCACAUGAGCUAAGUAUUUUUGACAGCCUUUCGAAAACAAUCUCUUUGCUCUCACAGCAUAAAUAAUGGCUGAAACUCAAUCCACUUUGCAUACUUACAAAAAGUAAUCUCUGGUCAUCCAGAUCGAUGGAAAGUACUGGUUUUCCCGUAACAUUCCGUCUUGUCACAAUUAUAACCAACCAAUCUAAUGGAACAGAAUUAACUGAUACAAUAUAUAUUCUAUUAUUAUUAAGCAUUCUAAAUAAGUACAAUACUAACAUAAAAUAAUCUACCGGUUUGCUUGCUUAACGAAUCCACGAAUGAGUUAUUAAUAUUACGGUCUGCAGCCCGCAAUACUGAUAAAUCAUCGUUGUCUCGAUAAGUAGGCAACCACUCUCAAAGAUAUAACAUUACUAUUUUGUUACUCAAGGCAAAAUACAUACACUCGUCUCAACUACAUUUAUUUUACUACUACUCUCUAGGUAAUAACAUACAUAAUAAGAAAUAUAUAUCAGCCGAAGUCAACUAGAAUGACCAAUACGGCUGAUUCAACUCUUAUCUCAAUAAAUACGUCAGCCGGAUCCACUCCGCGUGGUCGUACGGGCCGAGCCUAUAACUCACCAAUUUCUCAUGUGUCAAUCGAAUCCACUUCUCAUGGCCUGUACGGAUGAACAUAUAACUCAUCAAAUCUCUCUGUACUCACAGUCAAUCCGACCAAACUACUAAGUUUAUAACUCUUCUGAAUCGACACUAUGAUAUCAUGGAAAAAUUAUUGAGUACAACUGAUUCUAGGGACGAUUCACAAUUCUGUGUCCCCUCUGUUCACAUAAACACAUUCAUUAAUUUCACACUUCCCAAAGUGUUAAUUUUUGUACCUGCUGCACAAGGUACAUUUCCUUUACUCGAGACACCUUGUCUCAAAUAUCUGGGAUUACCAGUAUAUCCAUCACUUUUACUCUGACCAGCGACAUUAAAACCUCAGCUGGAAGAAUUAACUCUAGCUUCACUUCUUUCGAAGCUCUGAAUCUUUCUAUCUCCUUGAUAUGACGAAUCAUUAACUUUAUCGUCUUCUUUUAAUUCCCAUUCAUUUCUUAUUCUUCUUUAUUCUCGUUGCUCAUGUUCUCAGAGUCCUCAAGACUCAACAGCAUCUAGCAUACUCCUGAUAAGAACUACAAUGGAUAGUGGUCACCCAAAAUACCACUUCCCUUUUGUCACCCAGCUUAAAACAACAUAACACCUCCACCAAAUUAACAACAAUAUCUGGAUGGAACGAGGCAAGUCUGAAAACUUUCUAUAAUAUCCCUCGAUCAUCACCUUCCUUGUCUCAUAUUUGUAAACUCUUGUUUACUACCAUCGAUAAAUGCCGGAGGGAUAAACUUUUCCUUAAACAAGUCCUUAAACAAUUUUAAAUCGACUGAUUCCUCUGGUGACAACAAUUAAUACUCCUGCUCCAUCAGGAUACACGUUCAUAACUCAAACCAGGUAGUCAUCUCAACCCCUUGUCAGAAGGAAGAUUCCUUUGACUUGCAUAAUCCGAAACAUCUUUUCCAAAUGGUUAAACCGUUACUUCGCUCCCUCAGGUUCAUCAUUUCUCUUAAGUGAUUCAAAUUCAACUCAUAACCCAUCUUAAAAUGCCCCUUUAGACAAUAGACUGAAUCACCAUAGUAAUAGUUUCCCCCAAACCGCUAAAUCAGGGAGACUAAAUUCCUCUAACUACGUGGUUUGCUACGAGGCGGUGUAGUUCUGACAGAAUUCACUAUAAACUUCUCAAGAUGUCCAAGAUUGCAACCAUGCUCUGAUACCAACUGACACACCCCGUCCCGAAGGAGGGCAUGCUGGCCGUCACGUGAGAGUGACGUAACCAUUUGCACAGUACGGAAGCUUUAAGAUACAAUUUAAAUUGAUACACCCGAAGGUGAGUCCUAAUUUUGUCCAAUCUGUCAGAACACCGUCGAAUUCCUCGUAGUCACCACACCUUUAUGAUUCCUGAACCUGGAGGGGCGCAAAACCAAAAUUGAGUGGGUCAGUAAAACAAUUCUUUUCUAAAUCCAAACAUUUCUCAAAACGUUGUAACCCCUCUCCGUAAAACCUGUAUACUUUCCCAGAAAUGUAAAAUAUAAAUAUACAUAUAUAUUCUCAAAACUUCAUUUUUACUAUCUCAACAUUAUCUCUUUAUCAAUCAUGCCAUGCCAUGUCAUCUCAACAUUUCUCAUAUUAAUUAUGCCAUGCCACAUCAUCUCAACAGUAAUAAGGUAUGAAUGCAUCAACAUAAUCAUAUCAGGUGCAAGAAAAGUAAUCAACCGUAGGCCCUCUAAUAGCCCUAUACGGUUGAACCUAGAGCUCAAAAUCUAUCAUUAUCACUCUACCGGAGUCACCUCUGUGACCCGUCCGGCCUUCUGCACACAAGUUACGCUCUAGUGCUUCUCAUAAAUCAUCUGUGCACAUAAUCUAAGGUCACCCACCAGUCGGAAUCUCACUAACACUCUCGCGACUGGUCUGUCGUACCCACUCCGCGUGGACUGUACGACUAGCAUCUACUUGGAUCCAAGGCGAGCGUGCGAUGCGGUGAAUACUAUAAGCACUAAACCAUGGUGCAGGAUUUGAGCUCAAUAUAUAUCAUCAUCAUCAUAACAGUAAUUAAAUAAUCACCUGAUACUCACCUGUGCGUCCACCGCACCAUUUCAUACAUAUGCAUCAUAAAUCAAUUCUUACUUGUGCGUCCACCGCACCAAUUCAUACAUAUGCAUCAUAAAUCAAUUCUUACUUGUGCGUCCACCGCACCAAUUCAUACAUAUGCAUCAUAUAUUAAUUCAUGCAUGGCAUUUCAACUCACAUUUUUUCCACAUAACUCAUAUGCAUUUCAUUUUAAACAUAUUUUCAUUUCAAUUCAAUUUCUGGGAAACGUCAAGUAUAUAUAUAUACGGAAAACAAAACUGCCCACUCACCUGGAGUUCGCCCUACAACUCCCUAGCACAAUACGCCAAGGCGUCAUGACGAUCGGCGCCUAAAACAAUAAUCAAUUCCAACCUCAGAAUUUAUAGUGAUAGAAUAUAUAACUUAUAUAAAAUACGUCACUACGUAGUUCGAUCCGGAAGAUCCACCACUCAUAUUUUAAAUCCAUAACUUCCAGAGGUCCACAAUAUACCUCUAGGACAACUUCCUAAAAUUUCAUUACCAUCCAACGGUCGGAUCUCCGUCACUUUCCAAAAUUAAGUGACGGUUAACAUUUUAUAUUAUGGACUUACAAUUCCAAUUCCGGAAGAUCCGCAAAUCGGAUUCCCAAUCUGUAAGUUCCAAUAAUCCUCAAAUAUUACGUAUUACAACGUAUCAAAGUUUGGAUGAUCCAACGGUCGGAUCAUCAUCAAUUCACAUUUUCAC